AGUGAACGCUGGCGGUAGGCCUAACACAUGCAAGUCGAACGGCGGCACAGUAAGAGCUUGCUCUUACGGGUGGCGAGUGGCGGACGGGUGAGGAAUACAUCGGAAUCUACUUUUUCGUGGGGGAUAACGUAGGGAAACUUACGCUAAUACCGCAUACGACCUACGGGUGAAAGCAGGGGAUCUUCGGACCUUGCGCGAUUGAAUGAGCCGAUGUCGGAUUAGCUAGUUGGCGGGGUAAAGGCCCACCAAGGCGACGAUCCGUAGCUGGUCUGAGAGGAUGAUCAGCCACACUGGAACUGAGACACGGUCCAGACUCCUACGGGAGGCAGCAGUGGGGAAUAUUGGACAAUGGGCGCAAGCCUGAUCCAGCCAUACCGCGUGGGUGAAGAAGGCCUUCGGGUUGUAAAGCCCUUUUGUUGGGAAAGAAAGGCAGCAGGUUAAUACCCCGCUGUUCUGACGGUACCCAAAGAAUAAGCACCGGCUAACUUCGUG
Molecule: ribosomal RNA, 492 nt
Filed under: uncultured bacterium
Lineage: Bacteria
Description: partial 16S ribosomal RNA
Rfam family: Bacterial small subunit ribosomal RNA
Source: RNAcentral